AAAGCAUGGUGAGGGAUUUUCCUAAGCAUUUUCUUAAAACUCUCUCAACUCUCAUAAAUUAAUUCUCCUUCAAACUGGGUAAAAUAAGUGAUAUCAUUUCUAGGUUU
Small nucleolar RNA from Dendrobium catenatum, 107 nucleotides. The record is from RefSeq and is a predicted model, not a curated record. NCBI's taxonomy places the organism in Eukaryota, Viridiplantae, Streptophyta, Magnoliopsida, Asparagales, Orchidaceae.